AGAACCCUGCUGUGUGCGUGAUAAAGGUGAUGUUUUGAACCAACAUCAACAAUAAGGGAGUCUGGGCUCUGGCUGUGGCAUAUAGGCCCCCCAUUAUGGCCAGGGGAAAUAUAAAGCAGUCAGGAGGACACCCACCUGCGAGGGCAGGUUUAAAAUACACCUGGAGCACGGCUCGGUGGGGUAAAA
This 186-nucleotide non-coding RNA is filed under the name Clostridiaceae bacterium. RNAcentral's name for it is "6S RNA". It matches the Rfam family "6S / SsrS RNA". From Rfam's summary of the family: E. coli 6S RNA was the first non coding RNA to be sequenced, but its function was unknown until recently. The record is from RNAcentral. Lineage: Bacteria; Bacillati; Bacillota; Clostridia; Eubacteriales; Clostridiaceae.